CACGGAACCAUGGUUGUGUGAAGGAAUAUUAAAAAGCUUUGCAACAUUAUUACCCUGAAAUGAACUACAUUUAUUCCAUAUCUUAAACCAAUCUCCCACAACAAGAAAUGAACCAAAAUUAGAAACAGCAGCUCUUUCAACACUACCGAAAGACAUAAUCUCACGAAGACACUUGGCAAUAAAAUCGAAUCUUUAACGCAUCACCAUUCUCAUCAAAUGUUAAACAAAUCUCCUCUUAAUUCCAAUUAUUUGAUAAGCGAGAAACAAAAUAGAUCAUUAAGUAACACAAAUUCACGAAAAAUCAAACAUAAUAGAUCGUUAAAUUGAAAUGUGACGGUAGACUUGACUAAGCCUGAUCCUCUUAGCUCAGAAGACAAGGACGGGUCGUGUUAUGAGAAAUGUCAAGGUAGACUUAACUAAAACUUAACUAAGCAUGGAUAACAGAGUAAUUUUUCUUUCCAUUCCAACAAAUGCAAAAUGAAACUCAAAACAAUCUCACAUAAUACAAAUAAAAAAUUCUUCCAUUAUCUUCUUCAGAACACAAGCAUCUCUAAUCUCCACCACCGACAAAGACCCAAGACAUUAAAAUUAAGAACAUAUAGAAUCAAAAGCAACACAAAAGACCAAAGAGAGAGAGAAAAAGAUGGUUAAGAUCAAAACCAUAAUGAUAGAACAAUCAACAACAAACUAAUGUCAUAUCUCAUCAAAUUUUUCAAAAAAAUAAAUAAAAGAAAACAAGUAAGAAUCAGACAAGCCAACAUACCAUGUCUAUUUUUGCAUUUGAAUUUUUCCUACCUCUGUUAAGUUCCAAACAUGUUUUCGAGUCAUUGGAAAUUACUUUUUAUGUUACAAAAUCACUUUUAAAAGUAUAGACACAAACGAACGUUAAUAUGCCAUGAAAAUCACUUUUAACAAAACAUUUAUUAGUAAAAAUCAAUUUUGUUAACUAGUUUCUAAAAACACUCUCAAAUAUGUCUUCCAUAACCUGGUUUAAGUUUUCAAGAAAAAUGACUAAUGGGCCAGGAUACUCAUGCCAUGGAGUGGCAAAAAAGAGGUUGAGCUUUGUAUUUUAAGUAUCAUGUUGAUGAAGACAUGUAAAAGGUCUUAUGAUACAUAUAAGUUGAGAAAACAAGUAAUAAAAGAGAAAUAUUUGAGUGUAUCAAGAAAGCACCAAUACAUAUAGAAGCUUAAGCUAAUGGAUAAGAGAGUAAAUUUAACAUAACAUCCAACACUCUUUCUCAUUUGUGAGUUUGAAAUAUGAAAAGUAGAGCCACGCUAAGUGAGAAUGUAAGUGCGUAUAUUCAUGAAAUAAGAUGUUAGCUCGUAAGACAUUGAUUUGAAGUAAAUAAGAUAUAGCAAUAUAAGAAUAGAUACGUUGUGGUACGUUAUACCAACACAUAGAUUUUAACUGUUAAAUCAAAAAAGAAAAAAACAAAAACAAAAACAAAAACAAACAAUAAAAGGCAUUAUUAAGGCGUAGUUAAAGUUUUGGUAAUUAACAUUUUUAAGCAAAGCUAGAUGGACUCACUGGCUACAAGAAAUAGACAAUAAUUUGGAUAAAGGCAAGGCAAGGAAGGGAUCUCGAGUGAUAGAAAAAGAGACGAAUGGUGACAAUAAGGGUACCAUAAAAGUAAUGGAAAUUUUUAAUUGGACAAACCAUUCAACGUAAUUCCCCCCCACGGUAACUUGGUCCAUAAAUUUCAUAAAAUCUAAUCACUCCUUCCAACCUGUCCUUCCCAUUCAUCUAAAUUCCCUUUGACUCCUUAACAAAACAACACAUUAUUUGCUUACAUGAUCAAUCAUCAUUUAUAUUCCCUCUCUUUUUCUGUGUACAAAACACCUAGAUUCUCUUCUAAUUCCACCCUAAGAGAAACCUGAAAUUUAUCACCUACUGCACAGCCUAAUAUCUUCCAUUGUCAUUGUAGCGUUUAGGCUUAGAGGUAGAUGACAUCCAAAUGAAAUACUUUAAAAGUACGAAAGUACAGCACUUGGAAAUACCAAUCUAAGAUGUAUAAGAUCUCUACUCACCCCUAGUAAGCACAGAAAUACUGAGAAAUUAAAAAGAAACUGUAAUAAGAACACAAGAAGAAGAAAAUAUUACGUAUUGUUGAUGAACUUACUUUGAGUCAAUCACGAAUUCAACACAUCUCAUCUACCAUUUAACUUUGUUGGCAUUUCAAACAUGAUGAACAUUUCAAUUCAACUCUUUUGUCUCUUGAGUACUGUAAGCUUUAGACUGAUGAUUAUGUAUUCUGCCUCUUCAAGGGAAUUCUAUGGUCUUGGUGGAAGGGUUUGGUAGGAAUUCUUUCUUUUUCUCCCUUAAGACUUGGUUUAGACAUACAAAAGCUCCUAUCUCAGUUGUAAAUAAUAAACACCUCUAACAGAGUCCAACUUGAGCCUAGAACCAAAAAAUAACUAAAAGGUUCUCACCUGCAAUUUGAUGUACUCCUUUUCUUUCUUCUUCAUCUCAUGUAUUUGUUGAGUUCUUACUUGCUUUGCACACAAACAGAAAACAACAUUAGUACUAAAAUUAUUACAUAGAAACUAGUAUCUAUCUCACAGCAUCCAACUACCAUAACCUGAUUGCCAAUAACCCUUCUCUGGAGUUCAACAUUUUCCUACUGUAGCUUGUCAAUUUGAGCUUUAAAAGCAGCCUUACCUUUGGCUUCCUGUGGAAAAGAACUUCCUUGUUCAAUGUUAAAUAGAGAGAAAUCAUAGAAUUUAGACAAGUCUCGAGAUUGUACUAUUCGUGUAACUGUUGCAAUCUCCCUAUCUUUAACUUGUACUACCGACUUUAGCCUCUCAACUUUGGUCUCCAACCUUGAUAUAUCUUAAUGUAGCCUGCCACAAGAAAAUAAAGGUGACUGAAUACACGGAACCAUGGUUGUGUGAAGGAAUAUUAAAAAGCUUUGCAACAUUAUUACUCUGAAAUGAACUACAUUUAUUCCAUAUCUUAAACCAAUCUCCCAUAACAAGAAAUGAACCAAAAUUAGAAACAGUAGCUCUUUCAACACUACCGAAAGACAUAAUCUCACGAAGACACUUGGCAAUAAAAUCGAAUCUUUAACGCAUCACCAUUCUCAUCAAAUGUUAAACAAAUCUCCUCUUAAUUCCAAUUAUUUGAUAAGCGAGAAACAAAAUAGAUCAUUAAGUAACACAAAUUCACGAAAAAUCAAACAUAAUAGAUCAUUAAAUUGAAAUGUGACGGUAGACUUGACUAAGCCUGAUCCUCUUAGCUCAGAAGACAAGGACGGGUCGUGUUAUGAGAAAUGUCAAGGUAGACUAAAUCUCAUGUAAGUCACUAGUCAAAUAAACCAACAGCUAAAACAAAGCAAAACAAUAACAAAAACCCACAAAGAUGUUGUAACGACAGUAAGACAUAUUGGUUAUGAUAAACAUAUACUACUAUGAGUUAGGAAGAUCAUGGAUCCAGCCAAAAUUAUAGAUGAAUCAGUGAUAAUCAAAAGUUGAAAUCAGUGAUAUCGAAUAUUUCUUUAACCCAAUAUGUUUAAGGUUGCAUUUUGUUGUUUCCACACACAUCUUGUGACUAUGAUCAAAGCGUUGAAAGUGCAAGAAUAUAAGUUAUAGAAUAGAUAGAUUCAAAUAUAUUAGCAAUAUUUUUUGCUGGGUACAUCAGAGAUUUAGAAGUAAGAAAUUAUAUGAAUGAUAAAUCAAAAUAGUUCAGAGACAUGGCACCUUUUCCUCACGUAGCUCCACUAAAACAAAGUGGUAAAGGGGAGAAAGCUAAAAUGUGGCAAAUGCCUUCUUCGCUAAAAUGUGGCAAAUGCCUUCUUCUUUCAAACAUGAAGAGAUUGAUCACAAAGUCAAGUUGAAAGCUAAAAAAACUUAAGCCUCUAUUUGGCAACAAUUUUGUUUCACAAAAUUAUGCUUAUGAAAAUUACUUAUGACUAAACUUCUUUGAACAAUUGAUAAAAAUGUUCUUGAAAACUACUUUUUC
Molecule: long non-coding RNA, 3958 nt
Filed under: Cucumis sativus (cucumber)
Lineage: Eukaryota; Viridiplantae; Streptophyta; Magnoliopsida; Cucurbitales; Cucurbitaceae
Description: long non-coding RNA (CSAT_LNC003215)
Source: RNAcentral